Molecule: long non-coding RNA, 934 nt
Organism: Etheostoma spectabile (orangethroat darter)
Lineage: Eukaryota; Metazoa; Chordata; Actinopteri; Perciformes; Percidae
Exons: 4
Source: RefSeq, a predicted model, not a curated record
AGCAGUUGCUAGUUUUUACCAGUUUCCAACCCACGUAGCGUUUAUAUUUGACUGUUUUUGUUCAAGCGGGAAAAGACAAGAUCAGAAACCAUAACUUACAUUAAUGUCAGGCACACAAUUUAUGUGACUGUUGAUACAAUCAAAUUUCACCCACUGCCCUGCCAAACGUCACCGUACUUGGAAAGUCCAGCUGCUAAUGGAAUUAGCAUUAGCUUGACCUGAAAGUUCCGAAAAAGAUAUGUUAGCAUUAGCGUUAGGUGAAGGUUUGGCUGAAGCUGCAACAUGUUGAUGUGGUGGGAGUUGUGCCAUUCAUUGUCAUCCUGUAACUAAUUAUCACCUAAUCUUACUACUGCAUAAAACUAUCACAUUGGAACUCCUCAUUUAGUUCCUGGCCGAUAGCCUCUGCAACCUGUACUCGCUAAAGGUCACCAAAGAGAUGGAGGAAGGAUCCACAGAUCCACUAAAUCACAGGGCCAACUGGAUCAGACUUCACUUUGACACAGCCAUCAUAAUUCCUCCACGGCACAGGAAUCAAUUAUAGCUGAGCACCAUUAUUUCCAGAACGGAGCUAAACAUUAAAGUUUAAAAAUUCGAAAUUAUUAAAAAGGCAUGCUCUCAGGGACCCAUACAGAAUAUUUACUGUUAACAAAUAACUUAAUAACUUCACUCUGAAUUAUUAAUUCAUGGCUCACGUUGGCUCUGCAAGACUUAUCUCAUGGUUAAUAUCUCUGCCUUUAUACAUUGUUAAAUAUGCAUCACUUCUUGACUGCUCUAUUUGAGCACUUGGCAAAUCUGUCAGAGCUUUGUGACUUUAUUAGAAAAUCUGAGCUGCAAUUUUGGCUGUUGACAUAGUGAUUUAAAUAUUCUAGUCUAAAACAAAUGCUUUGUUGAUAGAUAAAGAAAGGGAUGUGGUUUCUUCUGGCAUAGCUUGAUA